This 146-nucleotide ribosomal RNA is filed under the name Candidatus Peregrinibacteria bacterium RIFOXYA12_FULL_33_12. The record is from RNAcentral. Lineage: Bacteria; Candidatus Peregrinibacteriota. RNAcentral also lists the same sequence under 2 other names.
CUUGGCGAUUAUGGCGGUAGUGGUACACCUGUUCUCAUUCCGAACACAGAAGUUAAGCCUACCAGCGCCAAUGGUACUACCCCUCCUUAGUUUAUAAAAAUAAUUUGUAAAUUAAGGAGGGGUGGGAGAGUAGGUCAUCGCCAAGA